GUCUUGCCUGUAAUUAACUUUUCUGUUAGGUGUCAUAUACAGAAUCCAAGGCCUCAAAGAGAAGUACAUGCCAGACAACCCAAGAGAAAUCAUACCAAGCAUUCAUCUGGGACUUUCCAUUACCUUAUAGCAGCAGAUAAGUUUGUGAGAUAGUCCCUGUGAAAGUUUAUCCUCUUGUCAUCCUGCAAAGCCUUCUCUAAAGUUAUAAUAACCGGUGGAUUGCCAUAAUUAUCUUUCACAUAUCGAGCUAACUUUCGGAUGCCCCAUGGCACAAUGUGUAGCCAGCGAGAAGCUGCCUGAAGGAGGAAGAAAUCAUGAGCAUGCUUUAAUUUGAUGCAGUAAAUAGCGACUAGGCAUCUUACAGGUAGUAAUAACCGCUGCAUCAGAUGAAGCAUCCCGCAAUAUGAAUUUCCUAAUUCGUGUCCUGUCAUUCCGGGCGUAUAAUGUGGUAUAAUGAUUUAUGCCAACAAAAUCCAAGGACCCCAACAGAAACUUGGCUGUUUUUGGUGAGAUCUCUGGUAGUCUCUUUCCCACAAGCCUCUGCAUUGACAGUGGAUAUUCACCGAAGAAAAGUGGAUCAAGGAACCUGAGUCAAUUUUUGGUGUCAUGCACUUCAUAUAUUGGAAUUGAUUUCUUGCUAAUGUCCGUAACUCAAGCUUUAUAUAGCCCACAAGAGAAAUUACCAUCUGAUUCCAAAGUCCAUUGCCCUACGUGCAGCAUCUUUGUCCUCAUCACUAUCAGAUAUUGGUUCAUACCAUUUGGCAUCCAGUGCCAUUCCAAUUAGACCCCCUUGACUUUCCUGAAAGACCCUCAUAAAUGGAAAAUAAAAUUCUUGUCAUUUUCUUUUAAUUGAUAGGAGAACCAGAAUAUCUUAUAAGACAAUCAUAUUCAUGAACAGGAAUACCUUGAAAUGGAGCUGGUAAUUAUGAUAAGCUGCAGCAUGAGACAAGAGGAUGUUGUGAGCUACAAUGUAUGGUUCAGUGGAGGAUUCUCCUGUCUUGCAGAACAAAUGCCCAAGAAUGGAGCACCUCCCAGGAGCUUGAAGACCCGUGUCAUAACCUUGGAGUGCGAAACCGUGGGGCUCAUUAAAGCUCCUUCAAACUACAACAUAUGAUUCCAUGUGUCAUUCCAUUGAAUACAUCAUGAAGAAAUUGAAGUUCAGAAAAAUGAAAAGCAUUACCUGGUAAGCUGAAGAAGCAGUUCCAAAGAUGAACCCAUCUGGGAAAUCAACUCUGCUGAUGGAUUCAGAGUUCAUGAAGAGACAGCUCAUCAAAAACAGGACCAGCAAGACUGCCAUGGUGAGGUUUCUAGACCAUGAACAAUGAGUUUGUUUUAGAUUGCUGUGAGGGAAGUUUUAAACUAAACUGAAAUUGUGUUAUUAUCUUAAA
Molecule: long non-coding RNA, 1388 nt
Organism: Vitis riparia (riverbank grape)
Lineage: Eukaryota; Viridiplantae; Streptophyta; Magnoliopsida; Vitales; Vitaceae
Exons: 4
Source: RefSeq, a predicted model, not a curated record